UGUUCUUAAGAAGUACUAAAGAAGAAUUUUUAGCAUAUUAAGUAGAAAAUUAGAGCACGAAAAUAGAGCACCGUAAGUACAUUAUAGAAAUAUACAUUCUUUUAUUUUCAUCUGGGGAUGUAGCCUAUAUAUUUUUUGUUCUCUUGCUAACAGGACGGGUCGAUUUAAUCCGAUUCGUGACUCAUCUCAAACAACUCACAGAAAACAGGGUUGCCAACUCUCAGGCAUCUGGCGUGACACUCAAGCUUUCAGCAUCAAUCUCACGCUCUCACGCACACGCAAGAAAUGUCACGCCAAAAUCCAUUUUUCUCCCUUCUCAAUUCGUUAAUUUUCUGUUGAUGACUAGACCACAGCGUAUUAAUGACAGGAGAGCAGGAGAGGAGUUUAAGGCCCACAGCUGUUACAUCUCCCUACAACGUUCUCGCUGCAGUAUUCUCUGGUCGUUGAUUGGCUGAAAACCUUGCACCUGAUACGUCAGUUGCGUGUGAGAAUUUCAGAGAGAGUUCGGAGCAUAGGUUCGGAGUCGGCACGUGUGACAGUUUGGAAGACAAUCAAGACCAAACCCUUCUCCUCCCCUUGUCUCAUACUAUCCCCAGAAGCAGUGGAUCUCCCUGCUGGCUCUGUCUGCUGAGCGUCUGCUGUACUUGUUAUUGAGAUUCCCUGCUGACAGCCCGGCUCUGGAAAACCUAUGGAGAGGGAGGGAUGCUGGUGUACCUGGCACUACUAUGUGGGAGGAAGCCUGCAGGCCCGUCCCAUGAGGCCCAUCCCCUGUUUGCGUCCCAUGGGAAUCAAGAGACGAGAAGUUUUGCACAAUGCCAGGAGUCCCGCCUCAGUUCUUACACACCUGUCUGGAGGGGUGUGUGUGUUCCCACAAU
Megalobrama amblycephala (Wuchang bream) is the source of this 875-nucleotide long non-coding RNA. RefSeq lists it as uncharacterized. The record is from RefSeq and is a predicted model, not a curated record. NCBI's taxonomy places the organism in Eukaryota, Metazoa, Chordata, Actinopteri, Cypriniformes, Xenocyprididae. The transcript is spliced from 3 exons.